Long non-coding RNA from Aedes aegypti (yellow fever mosquito), 329 nucleotides. RefSeq lists it as uncharacterized. The transcript is spliced from 2 exons. The record is from RefSeq and is a predicted model, not a curated record. NCBI's taxonomy places the organism in Eukaryota, Metazoa, Arthropoda, Insecta, Diptera, Culicidae.
GGAAUUGAUGGCACCACUGCGCUCAACAACUGGGUUUUCUGCUGCGAAGUGACAUCCGAGAUGACAGGUUAUAUGACAGAUUAUGAAAAAGAAAGGGAAUUGGAAGUGAUCUUGAAAGCGUGCUAGAUUAUAUUUUCAUUAUUUGAGUGAAUUCGCUACUUUAUUGAUCUAAAUAACUAUUAUCAACGAUUUGUUCUAAGCGAAAUAGAGCGCAAAUUUAUUGUUCGGAAUUGGAAGAGGAAAAAGAAAACCAUUUAUGUGAGUGGUAAAAAUAUAUUGAAAUCGAUCCACUAACUAACAAAUUGUUCUAAUAAAAUGCUUUACUUUUA